Molecule: non-coding RNA, 107 nt
Organism: Gossypium raimondii (Peruvian cotton)
Lineage: Eukaryota; Viridiplantae; Streptophyta; Magnoliopsida; Malvales; Malvaceae
Source: Rfam
AAUCCAUGCAUCGAACAUUUUCGAAUUAACUCCUUAAAUUAUUUCCAAUCUUCAUAUAGCAUUUCGUCCUCCAUUUGUAAAAAAAAUGUGAUGUCAUUUCUAAGUCU